Long non-coding RNA from Dasypus novemcinctus (nine-banded armadillo), 2454 nucleotides. NCBI's taxonomy places the organism in Eukaryota, Metazoa, Chordata, Mammalia, Cingulata, Dasypodidae. The record is from Ensembl.
CAGAAUAUUUAUUUUGGGACAUGCAGGAUAUUCAUUUGCAAAGCUACACAACAACGAACAACCUGAAAUAAUGGGCCUGGUGAAUAUUCUGCAAUUCCUGCAGCAGUUCCAAGAGGCCUAGCUUUGUAGACUAAAGGAAGGAUUCUGUAGAGUAAAGACUCAUGUUCAACUGCUUACUUGGUUCACUUUUCCAUGGAUCUCCAGCAACACAGUCACGUGAUCCAGACCCACAGAAGGGAGCCGAGAACCCUGCCAGCUCUAAUUACAAGUUCCAAACCCUGAUGACCUCGUUUAGGAACCAGAUUCACAUGCAUCUACGUUGCGUUGGAAAUCUUGGGAGCAGAUGCCUUGCUCACAACUGCCCUUUCUUCAGCUGGACAGGGUAAAUCGCGGCAGUGGGAGUGAUGGGAGUUCCUAAAUGGCCUGUUUUGUCUCCUUCCAACAGUAGCUGGAAUGUGGAAAUGAUUGUGAAUUGGUUUCUGUGUUUGAUAAUCCUGGCCAAGUGCAACCUUUCUUUUGUUAGCUAAAUAUCAUUGGCAUGUAGACCUGAUAUUUGCAUGCCUUUAUGCAUGACAAGUUUUAUUUGUUAACUUUUUCAAUAGUGUGACUUUGGGGCCCAUAACACUGGCCCAGUGGUAGUGUGGCUCCCCUAAGCCCACAUAACUCAGUCCUGUCCUGAGUGUUUGCUAGGUUCGACUUUGACUUCAUGCCAAUUUUUUCCUCCCCUGGCACUUCCGUCCUGUCCUGAGAAAAACUCUGGCCAGGCAACUUCAAGCUCCACUGAGCAGACACCAUCAGGUGAGUGUUUGUGGUACAAUUCCAGUAUAAAAAAAAAGCAGUUUCUAUUUGCUGAGAGAAGCUAAAAAAGCUUCUGAGAAUUUGAAUCUGAGAGAAAAUGACAGAUGUAUUUCCAUUUGUGUUUUCAGGCAGAAUUUUAGAAGGUCACUCUAGGGAAGGGGUUUCCUUGCAUGCUGAACUUCAGUUUCAUCUCUUUUAAAUAAAAGAUACAUAAAAGCAUAUUUAAUAUUCUUUUAAAAACAUUAGAAAAUAAGAACAAGCCUUUCUUCAUUCCUCCUUCCUUUUCUACCUUCCUUCCAUCCUUCCCUUCGUCUUUCUCUCUUUAUCUAUCAUUUUAAAAACCCAGCAUUAGUACAAUUUGUCUUUUUGGGUAAAUACACUUCAGGAUUUUCCUGGGAAAAAUGGCAGACUUCAAGUAGGACAUAUUGAAGACAAGAAACAUUUAUUGGUGAAAAGAGUUAAAUACUUAAUGAGGAAUCUCAUGUUUGGCUUUUGACUCAUUUUAAAGAACACAUUGGCUUUAAUUAUAAGCCUUUUAUUUGCUUUCCAUUUGCAAAGUUCUUUUAUGUUAAUUAUUUUCUUUAUUUCUUUCAGUAAACUUGAGAGGAGAAUAUAUUAUGAUUUUUAGAUUAAGGAAACUGGCUCUGAGAGAUGUAAGAUGGUGGACCAGGUACACACAGCAUUCUGUUGCUCCGCGACCUUAGAAAUGUGCCUGUGUUUAUCGGUGUGUGUGUAUUCAAUGACAAGAGCAGGAAUCUUUCCAGGGGGUCAUUAAUUGCAAGGAAUCUUGGAAAGGUGGAAAGCAGAUAGAGGAAGGAAAUCCCAAUCUGAAAUGCUCACAGAAAGUAACCUUAUAAAAGAUUGGAGAGGUACCAAGAGGAGGUAGAUACCUGAAGCAGGUGGAUUUGGAGACAACUAACAUGGUAUCAUAUACCCAUCUUGUAAGUGAUAGAUCCAGGAGUUGAGCCCAGGCUUUUCUCUCUAAUGCCUGUGUUCCCACCACAGGCGCAGGAGACAUUGGACUUGGCUGGGUGUACCCAGCCCAAAAUGAACAGAUACCUGGAAGCAUCUUCUUAAUUUGAACUCUGCUUUAGUAAAGUGUAUAAUUCAAGAUUAAUUAUGAUUUGUUUCUUUCUCUUUGUUUGGUUUCAACAAUUUUUUCUUGCUUUUGGUAAAAUUCGCUUUAUUGAAGAGUAAUUUACAUGCAACAAAAUUGGCCAAUUUUAAGUGUAUAAUUUGAUGAGUUUUGAUAGAUGCAUAGAGUAUGUAUCUACUACUGUAAUCAAGAGAUACAGUUUCUCAAAAAUUAGACAUAGCGUUACCAUACAAGCCACCUGUUCCAGUCCUGGGGAGAUGAAAAUAUCUGUUUCAUGCAAAAACUUGGGCAUGAAUGCCCAUAGUAGUAUAUGACCCCCCAAAAUUCUUUUGUGCCCCUUUGUAGGCAUUCCCCUUCCCCCACCUCUUUGUCCAUAGCAAUCACUGAUCUGCUUUUUGUCACUAUAGUUUUGCCUUUUCUAGAAUUUCAAAUAAACAAAAUCAUACAAUAUUUAAUCAUUUGUGAUUGCUUUUUUUAGCAUAAAAUUUUGGAUUCAAUCCAUAUUGUUUCAUGCAUUGUUAAUAUGUUCUUUUUUAUUGCUGAAUAGUAUUCUGUUCCAG